GAUGAAUAACGUAGCGAAAUGCGAUACUUGGUGUGAAUUGCAGAAUCCCGUGAACCAUCGAGUCUUUGAACGCAAGUUGCGCCCGAAGCCACUAGGCCGAGGGCACGCCUGCCUGGGCGUCACACGCCGUUGCCCCCCCAUCUACUCCUUCGGGAUUGCGGGGGGGCGGAUGAUGGCCUCCCGUGCGCCUAGCCGCGCGGUUGGCAUAAAUACCAAGUCCUCGGCGACGCACGCCACGACAAUCGGUGGUUGCGAAACCUCGGUUGCCCGUCGUGUGCGUUCGUCGCGCAUCGAGGGCUCGAAAAAAUGCUCGGCUCCGGCUGGGCUUUCAACGCGACCCCAGGUCAGGCGGGGUUACCCGCUGAAUUUAAGCAUAUCAAUAAGCGGAGGA
RNAcentral lists this unclassified non-coding RNA (391 nucleotides) under soil metagenome. Its description in RNAcentral is "partial contains 5.8S ribosomal RNA, internal transcribed spacer 2, and large subunit ribosomal RNA". The stretch from base 1 to 122 matches the Rfam family "5.8S ribosomal RNA", at positions 35 to 154 of the family's 154-position model. The record is from RNAcentral.